RNAcentral lists this ribosomal RNA (406 nucleotides) under uncultured bacterium. RNAcentral's name for it is "partial 16S ribosomal RNA". It matches the Rfam family "Bacterial small subunit ribosomal RNA", at positions 30 to 526 of the family's 1533-position model. The record is from RNAcentral.
AUUGAACGCUGGCGGCAGGCCUAACACAUGCAAGUCGAACGAGUGGCGGACGGGUGAGUAAUGUCUGGGAAACUGCCCGAUGGAGGGGGAUAACUACUGGAAACGGUAGCUAAUACCGAAUACCAUCGGGUGGGCCCAGAUGGGAUUAGCUAGUGGGUGGGGUAAUGGCUCACCUAGGCGACGAUCCCUAGCUGGUCUGAGAGGAUGACCAGCCACACUGGUACUGAGACCCGGUCCAGACUCCUCCGUGAGGCAGCAGUGGGGAAUAUUGCCCAUUGUGCGCAAGCCUGAUGCAGCCAUGCCGCGUGUAUGAAGCAGGCCUUCGGGUUGUAAAGUACUUUCAGCGGGGCGGCGUUACCCGCAGAAGAAGCACCGGCUAACUCCGUGCCAGCAGCCGCGGUAAUAC